GCAGUGCGUGGACGAAUGGUUACGCUGUCCGCUUUGUAAGCGGAUGAUUCUGGGUUCGAUACCCAUCUGCUCCA
This 74-nucleotide transfer RNA is filed under the name Culex quinquefasciatus (southern house mosquito). RNAcentral's name for it is "tRNA-Thr". The record is from RNAcentral. Lineage: Eukaryota; Metazoa; Arthropoda; Insecta; Diptera; Culicidae.